CAGGGUCUCACUAUGUAAUCUAGGGUGGCCUCAAACUCAUAGCGAUCUUCCUGCCUCAGCCUCCUGAGUCCUGAUCACAGGUUGUGCUCCACAGAUGCAGGCUGGCUCUGGAUCCUAUUACUCUGCCAACAAACAACGUGGCUGUGGAUUUGGCUGCAUUGAACGCACUUUUUUGUUGUUUCUGAUGAAAGAAAGCAGCUAAGCAAGGAGAUGGAAGACAGCCACGGGCUGGCCCACAGUGGGUGCCACCCUCUGGAGCAAGCCUGAAGUGAGGGCCACCACUUUCUGUCCUGUUUAAAAGGAUCUCCCUGCUGUGCCCAUGUCGUUAUCAAAAGACAGCCUGCUCUCAAUAAAUGCUUCCUCCGGAGCCGCAGCUCUGAAGUACAGUACCUGGCCAUGGAUGCAGGCUGAGGAGGGAAGUGGACCGGCCAAGCCUGCAGCAAUGUGACAGGUGGAAGCUGACGGGUCCAAAGGAAUCUGGAGCCAACUUGAAGCAGCUCUCACUGGGCAUUAGCUUCCUGCUGCCACUCUGUGAGCUCCUCCUCUGCCCUGCCCCUCUGCCAUGCCACUCUCCCAGCCAGCUAUGGACUGAAACCUCUACAAACUGUGAGCCAAAAUAAACCUUUCCUCCUUUAAGUUGUGGCUGUUGGGUACUGUGUCUCAGGGAUGAGAAACUAAGACGGGGGAUAUUCUCUUUCUAAAAUAAAUGAAGAAGGAAUGAUAGAAAUAGAG
Molecule: long non-coding RNA, 732 nt
Organism: Heterocephalus glaber (naked mole-rat)
Lineage: Eukaryota; Metazoa; Chordata; Mammalia; Rodentia; Bathyergidae
Source: Ensembl